RNAcentral lists this long non-coding RNA (1334 nucleotides) under Capsella rubella. RNAcentral describes it as "long non-coding RNA (CRUB_LNC003618)". Lineage: Eukaryota; Viridiplantae; Streptophyta; Magnoliopsida; Brassicales; Brassicaceae. The record is from RNAcentral.
AAAGAUUACAAAUCACAAGAUAAAGACGAUAAUGAAAUUACAGAGACACAAUGAUCUAUCCAUAACCUAUAAAUAGAACAGGAAAGGAUUUUACAGAUACAUUGUUUAAACCAAAAACAUCUUGUCUCGAGACUGAUUUAGCUCUCGAAAAACCAUAAGGACUUCCCGCAUACCAAAGGAUGAUAACGAGUUUCAACACAAAUGGCCAUAACAAGAGAAUGGAACUUGGCCUUCUCCGCAUAAGAUGCAUCUUUCUCUAUGAGUGUUUUGUCAAGGGUCUCCCGGAUGAAACCGUAAGAUAGACGAGACCCACUUAGAACCUUUCAACGCCAUAGCAAGCUGGUAAUUAAGCUAAACAAAGCUUAAUACCAAAUGAGAUAAUCCAGACAUAAACAAAGCUCAACCCAUAACUAACCAAGAGAAAUAGUUGAGGAAGAGAAACUUAGCCCAAACGAAGGAAACGACUGUCCAAAAAAAGAAAACUAGAGAACCUAAUCACCUGAUGUUACCAGAUCUCACACGAGUACAAUCUGAUCAGAGAAACUAGGUUACAAAAAGGCGAAGACAGUGGAGGCCAGGGAGAUACCAAGUUAAAAGAGAAUCAUUCUAAUGUUGCACAGAUCUGCAUCCCAUAACCAAAUCUCAUCAGAUCUAAGACUCAAAACUUAGUUUCUCACCAACACCAAAAACUUCCACGCUUCCUAGACUAAGAAAGACAAAGCUGGAAUUGAAAAGCUAGAUAAAAAAACAACGGAGGUGACCGACGCCGGCGCUAUAUGAGCCACCACGCGCCGGUCACAAGCUUGACGGCCGCUUCUUGUUGUUCUUUCUUCUCUUCUUUUUUUUCUCUCUGCGACGCUUGGGUUUUUUUCUCUUUGAAACAGAAUGAUCGUUAAAAUACAGAAUUGUUUAAAUAAACAUGAAAUUAUUUUUGUUUGGUUGCCAGGGUGACGCCAGACAUGCAUGCCAUUGGAGAUGCUCUAACAGCGAAGAAACAAAGAACCCACAAAUGAUAUAUGCCUUGGCUGAUACGGUAGGGUAUUAGAAAAAAAAAAAAAAAAAACUAGAAGAAUACAAAGCGUCUUAUUUAGAUUUUUUUUUAAAAUUUUUUUAAUGCACUUUAUUAAAGAGGAAUUGGAUGGAUGAGCAAAGAAGAGAUGACUUGUUUGAGCUUUCCGAAAUAAGGAUCAGUGAAUUCAUCACCCUCUUUGUAAAACAGAUCGAUGGGUCGCGAAACGUUGAGGCAUCGCACCAGAAUCGGGCGUGGCACAACGGUUGUCGUUAAGUACUCCUCCAUUAUUAUUUUGUAAUAAUCAGUAGCAAUCUUGUUCAAC